AAGAUAACAACCUCCAAACUUGUCUGGACUGGGGUUGCUGCUACCAACCAGGACAGCACUUUGCACGUGGAACUAUCCUCAGACGCGCUCUUCUUGAAGAGCGCCGACUCGCUUGUCAACGUUCUCGAGGUUUACACUCAGCCCCAGGAUUACAAGAUACUCCGAGGAAUUGAUACGUAUAUCUACUGUUCGUUUGAGGGACCUCCUCAACCUUCCAUCACAUGGCAAUCCCACACGUCACUAACUUCUACGGGAACCGACGUGACAAACGGGGUUACACAGAUCACAGCCCUCGAGCCAACCACUUCUCUAACCGUCUACCAAAGCAGGCUCACUGUCAACGCUGACACGUCUGCUUCUCCUUCUUAUUGGAGCUGUAAAGCAACUUACCCCUCUUACUCUGGAAAGUACAUUUUUACUGGCGGAGAGCUGAACACUAACGUGGCCUGUCUCACACCCAUUGGUGUUACUGCGGUGUAUGGGCCCACUACCCUGACUGUUGGUGCUACUGCCACCUUUACUGCUAAAGCGGACAGUCCUCCUAAACCACAAUUUAAUUGGA
Molecule: long non-coding RNA, 562 nt
Organism: Bolinopsis microptera
Lineage: Eukaryota; Metazoa; Ctenophora; Tentaculata; Lobata; Bolinopsidae
Exons: 5
Source: RefSeq, a predicted model, not a curated record